UACAGAGGUCCCAAGCGUUGUUCGGAUUCACUGGGCGUAAAGGGCGCGUAGGCGGCCAGCGCAAGUCAGUUGUGAAAUCUCCGGGCUUAACUCGGAACGGUCAACUGAUACUGCGCGGCUAGAGUGCAGAAGGGGCAACUGGAAUUCUCGGUGUAGCGGUGAAAUGCGUAGAUAUCGAGAGGAACACCUGCGGCGAAGGCGGGUUGCUGGGCUGACACUGACGCUGAUGCGCGAAAGCCAGGGGAGCGAACGGG
Molecule: ribosomal RNA, 254 nt
Filed under: uncultured bacterium
Lineage: Bacteria
Description: partial 16S ribosomal RNA
Rfam family: Bacterial small subunit ribosomal RNA
Source: RNAcentral